This 253-nucleotide ribosomal RNA is filed under the name uncultured bacterium. RNAcentral's name for it is "partial 16S ribosomal RNA". It matches the Rfam family "Bacterial small subunit ribosomal RNA", at positions 524 to 776 of the family's 1533-position model. The record is from RNAcentral.
UACGAAGGGGGCGAGCGUUGUUCGGAUUUACUGGGCGUAAAGGGCGCGCAGGCGGCUCAUUUUGUCAGGCGUGAAAGCCCCGGGCUUAACCUGGGAACUGCAUUUGAUACUCUGGAGCUUGAGUACGGGAGAGGAUAGUGGAAUUCCCAGUGUAGAGGUGAAAUUCGUAGAUAUUGGGAAGAACACCGGUGGCGAAGGCGGCUAUCUGGACCGUAACUGACGCUGAGGCGCGAAAGCGUGGGGAGCAAACAGG